AGAGUUUGAUCCUGGCUCAGAAUGAACGCUGGCGGCGUGCCUAACACAUGCAAGUCGGAUGUGCCGCAAGGUGCAUGGCAGACGGGUGAGUAACGCGUAGGGAAUCUACCUUUUUGUGGGGAAUAACGCUCCGAAAGGAGUGGUAAUACCGCAUGAGACCGUGGCCUGGGAUGGUUACGGUGAAACCUGGGGACCGCAAGGCCUGGGGCAAAGAGAGGAUCCUGCGUCUGAUUAGCUAGUUGGCGGGGUAAUGGCCCACCAAGGCGACGAUCAGUAGCCGGCCUGAGAGGGUGAUCGGCCACACUGGAACUGAGACACGGUCCAGACUCCUACGGGAGGCAGCAGUGGGGAAUUUUGCGCAAUGGGGGAAACCCUGACGCAGCAACGCCGCGUGAGUGAUGAAGGCUUUCGGGUCGUAAAGCUCUGUCAGAGGGGAAGAAAUGAGUCUGGCUAAUAUCCAGAUUUCUUGACGGUACCCUCAAAGGAAGCACCGGCUAACUCCGUGCCAGCAGCCGCGGUAAUACGGAGGGUGCAAGCGUUGUUCGGAUUUAUUGGGCGUAAAGCGCGUGUAGGCGGUUUUUUAAGUCCGAUGUGAAAGCCCUGGGCUCAACCCAGGAAGUGCAUUGGAUACUGGAAGACUUGAAUACGGGAGAGGGUAGUGGAAUUCCUAGUGUAGGAGUGAAAUCCGUAGAUAUUAGGAGGAACACCGGUGGCGAAGGCGGCUACCUGGACCGAUAUUGACGCUGAGACGCGAAAGCGUGGGGAGCAAACAGGAUUAGAUACCCUGGUAGUCC
This 794-nucleotide ribosomal RNA is filed under the name uncultured bacterium. RNAcentral's name for it is "bacterial SSU rRNA". It matches the Rfam family "Bacterial small subunit ribosomal RNA", at positions 8 to 796 of the family's 1533-position model. The record is from RNAcentral.